AACGAACGCUGGCGGCGUGGAUAAGACAUGCAAGUCGAACGGGAUUUUUUUCUGUAGCAAUACAGAAAAAAGUCUAGUGGCGAACGGGUGCGUAACACGUGAGCAACCUACCGUGAAGUGGGGGAUAGCUCGCCGAAAGGCGAAUUAAUACCGCAUGUGGCCAAGGAAGACAUCUUCCUGACGCCAAAGCCGGGGUAACCUGGCGCUUCUCGAGGGGCUCGCGGCCUAUCAGCUUGUUGGUGAGGUAACGGCUCACCAAGGCUAUGACGGGUAGCUGGUCUGAGAGGACGACCAGCCACACUGGAACUGAGACACGGUCCAGACANCUACGGGUGGCAGCAGUCGAGAAUUUUUCACAAUGGGGGAAACCCUGAUGGAGCGACGCCGCGUGGAGGAUGAAGGUUUUCGGAUCGUAAACUCCUGUCAUUAGAGAACAAGGCACAUGGUUUAACUGACUGUGUGUUGAUAGUAUCUGAAGAGGAAGGGACGGCUAACUCUGUGCCAGCAGCCGCGGUAAUACAGAGGUCUCAAGCGUUGUUCGGAUUCAUUGGGCGUAAAGGGUGCGUAGGUGGCGAGGUAAGUCGGAUGUGAAAUCUCCAAGCUCAACUUGGAAACUGCAUUCGAUACUGCUUUGCUAGAGGAUUGUAGAGGGCAUUGGAAUUCACGGUGUAGCAGUGAAAUGCGUAGAUAUCGUGAGGAAGACCAGUGGCGAAGGCGAAUGCCUGGGCAAUUCCUGACACUGAGGCACGAAGGCCAGGGGAGCAAACGGGAUUAGAUACCCCGGUAGUCCUGGCAGUAAACGGUGCACGUUUGGUGUGGGAGGAUUCGACCCCUUCCGUGCCGGAGCUAACGCGUUAAACGUGCCGCCUGGGGAGUACGGUCGCAAGAUUAAAACUCAAAGAAAUUGACGGGGACCCGCACAAGCGGUGGAGUAUGUGGCUUAAUUCGAUGCAACGCGAAGAACCUUACCUGGCCUUGACAUGCAUCUCUAAUCCGGUGAAAGCCGGUGAGUGUAGCAAUACACAAUUUGCACAGGUGCUGCAUGGCUGUCGUCAGCUCGUGUCGUGAGAUGUUGGGUUAAGUCCCGCAACGAGCGCAACCCCUGUGAACUGUUGCCAUGGAGACGUGAGUCUCCGGCACUCUGUUCAGACUGCCCUGUUCAACGGGGAGGAAGGUGGGGACGACGUCAAGUCAGUAUGGCCUUACGGCCAGGGCUGCACACGUACUACAAUGCCCGACACAGAAGGAUCCGAGACCGCAAGGUGGAGGAAAUCACCAAAGUCGGGCCCAGUUCGGAUUGGAGGCUGCAACUCGCCUCCAUGAAGCCGGAAUCGCUAGUAAUGGCGCAUCAGCUACGGCGCCGUGAAUACGUUCCCGGGUCUUGUACACACCGCCCGUCACAUCAUGGGAGUCGUUUGUACCCGAAGUGCGCGCGCCAACCGCAAGGAGGCAGCGCCCUAAGGUAUGAGCGGUAACUGGGAUG
This 1483-nucleotide ribosomal RNA is filed under the name unidentified eubacterium LD29. RNAcentral describes it as "bacterial SSU rRNA". It matches the Rfam family "Bacterial small subunit ribosomal RNA". The record is from RNAcentral. Lineage: Bacteria; Pseudomonadati; Verrucomicrobiota; Spartobacteria.